GACUCCAUGAAGCUGGAUUCGCUAGUAAUCGCGCAUCAGCCACGGCGCGGUGAAUACGUUCCCGGGCCUUGUACACACCGCCCGUCAAGCCAUGGAAGCCGGGAGUGCCUGAAGUACGCGACCGCAAGGAGCGUCCUAAGGUAAAACCGGUGACUGGGGCUAAGUCGUAACAAGGUAGC
Molecule: ribosomal RNA, 179 nt
Filed under: uncultured bacterium
Lineage: Bacteria
Description: partial 16S ribosomal RNA
Rfam family: Bacterial small subunit ribosomal RNA
Source: RNAcentral